AGUGAACGCUGGCGGUAGGCCUAACACAUGCAAGUCGAAUGGCAGCACAGGAGAGCUUGCUCUCUGGGUGGCGAGUGGCGGACGGGUGAGGAAUACACCGGAAUCUACUCUGUCGUGGGGGAUAACGUAGGGAAACUUACGCUAAUACCGCAUACGACCUACGGGUGAAAGCAGGGGACCUUCGGGCCUUGCGCGAUUGAAUGAGCCGAUGUCGGAUUAGCUAGUUGGCGGGGUAAAGGCCCACCAAGGCGACGAUCCGUAGCUGGUCUGAGAGGAUGAUCAGCCACAAUGGAACUGAGACACGGUCCAGACUCCUACGGGAGGCAGCAGUGGGGAAUAUUGGACAAUGGGCGCAAGCCUGAUCCAGCCAUACCGCGUGGGUGAAGAAGGCCUUCGGGUUGUAAAGCCCUUUUGUUGGGAAAGAAAUCCAGCUGGCUAAUACCCGGUUGGGAUGACGGUACCCAAAGAAUAAGCACCGGCUAACUUCGUGCCAGCCGCCGCCGUAA
Molecule: ribosomal RNA, 506 nt
Filed under: uncultured bacterium
Lineage: Bacteria
Description: partial 16S ribosomal RNA
Rfam family: Bacterial small subunit ribosomal RNA
Source: RNAcentral